Molecule: ribosomal RNA, 405 nt
Filed under: uncultured Anoxybacillus sp.
Lineage: Bacteria; Bacillati; Bacillota; Bacilli; Caryophanales; Anoxybacillaceae
Description: bacterial SSU rRNA
Rfam family: Bacterial small subunit ribosomal RNA
Source: RNAcentral
GACAUCCCUCGACAACCCGAGAGAUCGGGCGGUUCCCCCGUUCGGGGGACUAGGGUGACAGGUGGUGUCAUGGUUGUCGUCAGCUCGUGUCGUGAGAUGUUGGUUAAGUCCCGCAACGAGCGCAACCCUCGACCUUAGUUGCCAGCAUUCAGUUGGGCACUCUAAGGUGAACUGCCGGCUAAAAGUCGGAGGAAGGUGGGGAUGACGUCAAAUCAUCAUGCCCCUUAUGACCUGGGCUACACACGUGCUACAAUGGGCGGUACAAAGGGUCGCGAACCCGCGAGGGGGAGCCAAUCCCAAAAAGCCGCUCUCAGUUCGGAUUGCAGGCUGCAACUCGCCUGCAUGAAGCCGGAAUCGCUAGUAAUCGCGGAUCAGCAUGCCGCGGUGAAUACGUUCCCGGGUCUU